AGGCUUAGGCUUAGGCUUAAGCUUAGGCUCAGGGUUUCCCUGAGGCUU
Caenorhabditis elegans is the source of this 48-nucleotide non-coding RNA. The record is from Ensembl. NCBI's taxonomy places the organism in Eukaryota, Metazoa, Nematoda, Chromadorea, Rhabditida, Rhabditidae.